GUAAGGGACCGGAGAGUAGGA
RNAcentral lists this microRNA (21 nucleotides) under Homo sapiens (human). RNAcentral's name for it is "hsa-miR-6892-5p". The record is from miRBase by way of RNAcentral. Lineage: Eukaryota; Metazoa; Chordata; Mammalia; Primates; Hominidae.